Molecule: long non-coding RNA, 1332 nt
Organism: Gallus gallus (chicken)
Lineage: Eukaryota; Metazoa; Chordata; Aves; Galliformes; Phasianidae
Source: Ensembl
CUAUGAACGUGCUGGAGCUGCUGCACGGAAGGACUAUCUUCUCUUUGCCUGUGUGAGUGGAUAAAUUUUCGUCUCUAGCUUUACUCCUGAAAAUUACUGAAUCUGAACACAGGGCAUAAUAAACAACAAAGCAGCCGUGAACAGCUGACGUUUCAGGCUAUGUAAGUAUGCAGUGCUAAGUAUCUCAGCUCAGGACUUACAGCUGGACAAUGGAAACCUGGAGAAAACUUCAGCACUGUGGUGUCCAAAGUCCCCCAGCUGAUACCUAAAUCCUGAGAAACACAUUGCCCAGCUUCCGGAGUGCAAAAAUCCAGCACGGGCUGUUCUAAACACACUACUUAGGGGGGAAAAAAUGAUGUUAAGAGUUUGCCAGUUGAAUUUCAGUUGCUUUAAGCACAUUAAUUCUUGCUCAAUGUCAGUAGGCGUAUGCAGCUGGAAGGAGGGCCAGCUCAGACCAGCACUGAGGAGGCUCCUUGGGAUAACUAUCCUGCUGCAGAGAAAUUCCCAUCAAUCCAGUAUGUAUCAGCUGGAUCCCAGAAUGUUCUUACGCAUUCCAGAUAUUCUGGGGAGGAACUGGAAGAGUCAUCAUGUGCAUUUUACCUUAAACGGCCCUGGAGAUCAGUCAGGCGUUUUGUUCUGCCCCUGCUUAAAAUCACAUAGUAAAGCAUAUGCAAAUGUUGAUGCCCACAUUCUUGUCAUUAUCCUGAAAACAGGUUAGCUCAAACGUCUUUAAUCCUUGAAUUUUCAUGCCAAAUCCCUGGUAACCCCCUCUUUGUUAGUUCCCAGAGCACUGUUUGACUCCCUUCAGCUAAAAUUCUUUGUAGCUUUUGAUGUCCUUUCUAAUUAUUUGCAUCUUUGUCUUUUUAAGUAUUUAGAUGUCUUUGGAGCUUGAUUUACAUUUGCAACCAAUGCUUUGUGUGUCCUGCUGGUUCAUUCCCCUGGACUAUGCAUGAUGGAGCCGCCCCUGCUCCUUGUCCUGACCAAAGACCAUGAAGCCCAGUCUUCACGGAGCUGCUCAGCCCACUGAGAGUAAUAGCAGUGAGUAAUAGGAGUGGGCCCUUCUGCAGGCUGGGAGCAUCAGGCGAGUGUGGAAGGAAGAGUCAGAGAUCUUCCUCUGUCAUCUAGAAGAUGCCCACAGUGGAUAAUGCUUUCCCCUUCAGCUUGGUUCUGUGUCCUAUGUGAGUUGCUUUUAGGGACUUGGAAAAAUAUUUCCUUUUGCUUUGCUGAUAUUUUCUGCAUAUUUUGUGUAGGUAUAUUAAAGGAAUUGUCUCCUUGUGCAUCACAUCCAUCAGGUAUGAUAGGUGAAGGUCAUCAUCACUGCUAUGUUCCCAG